Molecule: ribosomal RNA, 482 nt
Rfam family: 5.8S ribosomal RNA (bases 174-322)
UCAGUUACAACCCAAACCCUUAUGGAACAUACCUACUGUUGCUUCCGGACUCGCCCCGGCGUCCGGACGGCCUCGCGCCGCCCGCGGCCCGGACCCAGGCGGCCGCCGGAGACCCUAAACUCUGUAUUAUCAGCAUUUUCUGAAUCCGCCGCAAGGCAAAACAAAUGAAUCAAAACUUUCAACAACGGAUCUCUUGGUCUGCAUCGAUGAAGAACGCAGCGAAAUGCGAUAAGUAAUGUGAAUUGCAGAAUUCAUGAAUCAUCGAAUCUUUGAACGCACAUUGCGCCGCCAGAUUCUGGCGGGCAUGCCUGUUCGAGCGUCAUUUCAACCCUCGACUUCUUUGGGGAAAUCGGCGUUGGGGAACGGCAGCAUACCGCCGGCCCCAAAUGGAGUGGCGGCCCGUCCGCGGCGACCUCUGCGUAGUAAUCCAACUCGCACCGGACCCCGACGUGGCCACGCCGUAAAACACCCAACUUCUGAAC